UACGUAGGCAGCGAGCGUUGUUCGGAAUUACUGGGCGUACAGAGUGUGUAGGCGGUGCUCUAAGUCUGUUGUGAAAUCUCCCGGCUCAACUGGGAGGGUGCGGCGGAAACUGGAGUGCUCGAGUGUGGGAGAGGUAAGCGGAAUUCCUGGUGUAGCGGUGAAAUGCGUAGAUAUCAGGAGGAACACCUGUGGUGUAGACAGCUUACUGGACCACGACUGACGCUGAGACACGAAAGCGUGGGUAGCAAACAGG
Molecule: ribosomal RNA, 253 nt
Filed under: uncultured bacterium
Lineage: Bacteria
Description: partial 16S ribosomal RNA
Rfam family: Bacterial small subunit ribosomal RNA
Source: RNAcentral